AUUCAGGUGACUCAACGGGAUUCGAACCCGUUAGAGCACUGCACCGGCAUCGCAGAGGUCAUGGGUUCGAAUCCCGUUGAGUCACCUGAAUU
RNAcentral lists this transfer RNA (92 nucleotides) under Acropora cervicornis. RNAcentral describes it as "tRNA-Ala". Lineage: Eukaryota; Metazoa; Cnidaria; Anthozoa; Scleractinia; Acroporidae. The record is from RNAcentral.